AUGGCGGCGCCGCCUUCCUGGCCGCUCCUGAACGACAGUGCUGGCUACUACGAAAGGGCGGACUACGGCUGCGGGCCGCUCGGCGAGCGCGUGGUCGACGGCCUUGCCCUCCUCGCGCGCCUGGACGGUGGAGACGGCGAUCAGACCGAGCUCUGCCUCCGCGCCGCCGACGACGUGCUCCGCCUCUUCUGCGAGAUGGUGCCCGGCGAGGUGGCGAGGAUCUGCGGCCACAGGGAGAUCGCCGACGAGCAGACGGAGAUCAUUGGGACUCAUGUCCGCUUCUACGCCCGUGUCGAUGCCGUGGACGGCGAGCGGGGUCUCGUGGUCUUCAGCCGGCACUUCCUGGCCGACGAAUACGUCGGUAAUCUCCGAUCGUACUACCUAGUCCAUGACUCCGCCGCCGCCUCACUCUCCCUGCUCCCGCAGCUUCCUCGGCAAUGCCCGGCCGUCUACGACAAGCGCCCUCUCCUGGUGUGCCACCGCGACGACGGUAGCUACUCGCUUGUGCUCAUGGCGAUCAGCUCCGAGCAAUGGACCGACGACCUGUUAGUGCGGCCCGUGAUCUGCCAGUGGUCACCGCCGACGCCGCAGUCGCUGUCCGGUGAUAACCGUGACAAGGGCGACGGCAUCUGCCUGUGGAGGACGCGCCAGGUGCGCCAGCUUUGUGCCGUGCCUAUCUGGUUCGAAAUAAGCGCGCAGGUGUUCACGUGCAAGGGGAAGGCUUUCUGGGCUGAUCUCAAGCAAUGCCUCCUGUACUGCGACUGCGCCGACCUCCUCAACGAUGGCGACGACGACAUCGAGUUCACCUACGUCGCGCUGCCGAAGGAGUACAGGGUGGACCGGUGGAGGAGCUAA
Molecule: ribosomal RNA, 855 nt
Filed under: Triticum aestivum (bread wheat)
Lineage: Eukaryota; Viridiplantae; Streptophyta; Magnoliopsida; Poales; Poaceae
Description: partial small subunit ribosomal RNA
Source: RNAcentral